AAUGAGAGUGAGGAAUCUCGUGGGUGGUGGCAGAGAUUCACUGUGGCUCUAGAGGAGUAGGUGGUGGCAAAGUUUGAGAACUGAAGAAUCACAUCUUCUCGUUGUCCUCAAAGUUGGGAGAGAAUAGCAACAACUAAAUGUUUCCUAUUGCGUGGACAAUUGUUGAGGGAGACACAAAGUCAUCAUGGUUGUGGUUUUUGAGAAUAUUAAGUGUCUAUUUUGUUAUGGGUCAUGAAAAGAAUUGGACUAUCAUAUCUGAUCAACAAAAGGAUUUAGUUCCAGCAGUUCAUGAAGUAUGACCUAAAAUUGAACAUAGGCAAUGUGCUAGACAUACUUACUCCAAUUGAAGGAAGAUACACACUAGAAAAGCACUUCAAAGGCAGUACUGGAAAUGUGUCAAAAUGACAACUGUGAGUGAAGUUGCACUGAAAUUGAGAAUUAAAAAAGCUUUCACAAAUUAUUAUGUGAUGUAGUGGACAAUAACAUGUCAAAGACUUUCAAUUCAUUUAUUUUUCUUGCAAGAUACAAGCCUAUAACUUUAAUACUAGAAUAUAUUAGAUCGGCUCUCAUGGAUAGAUGCAAAAGAAAGUUAAGCUCAGGGAAAAAGUUGAUGGUGGAGUAGCUCCUAGGAUUCUUAAAAAAAUGAGCAGACACACCUUGAAGUUCACUGGAAUGGGCAAGAUAAUCAACACGGUUUUGAAGUGAAACAUAAUGGGUGAGAUUCUAGUUGUGAUGUUAAUUUAGCCAAUGGAAUUUAUAAAUGUAGGAUGUGGGAUUUG
Long non-coding RNA from Asparagus officinalis (garden asparagus), 779 nucleotides. RefSeq lists it as uncharacterized. The transcript has 3 exons. The record is from RefSeq and is a predicted model, not a curated record. NCBI's taxonomy places the organism in Eukaryota, Viridiplantae, Streptophyta, Magnoliopsida, Asparagales, Asparagaceae.